RNAcentral lists this ribosomal RNA (442 nucleotides) under uncultured bacterium. RNAcentral describes it as "partial 16S ribosomal RNA". It matches the Rfam family "Bacterial small subunit ribosomal RNA", at positions 338 to 795 of the family's 1533-position model. The record is from RNAcentral.
CCUACGGGAGGCUGCAGUAGGGAAUCUUUCACAAUGGGCGAAAGCCUGAUGGAGCAACGCCGCGUGCAGGAUGAAGGCCUUCGGGUUGUAAACUGCUUUUAUAAGCGAGAAAUAUGAUGGUAACUUAUGAAUAAGGAUCGGCUAACUACGUGCCAGCAGCCGCGGUCAUACGUAGGAUCCGAGCAUUAUCCGGAGUGACUGGGUGUAAAGAGUUGCGUAGGUGGCAUAAUAAGUAGCUAGUGAAAUCUGGUGGCUCAACCAUUCAGACUAUUAGCUAAAAUGUUAAGCUCGAGACCGUUAGGGGUAACUGGAAUUUCUGGUGUAGGAGUGAAAUCCGUAGAUAUUAGAAGGAACACCAAUAGCGUAGGCAGGUUGCUGGGACGGUUCUGACACUAAGGCACGAAAGCGUAGGGAGCAAACGGGAUUAGAUACCCGAGUAGUC